This 406-nucleotide ribosomal RNA is filed under the name uncultured bacterium. RNAcentral describes it as "partial 16S ribosomal RNA". It matches the Rfam family "Bacterial small subunit ribosomal RNA", at positions 30 to 526 of the family's 1533-position model. The record is from RNAcentral.
AUUGAACGCUGGCGGCAGGCCUAACACAUGCAAGUCGAACGAGUGGCGGACGGGUGAGUAAUGUCUGGGAAACUGCCUGAUGGAGGGGGAUAACUCCUGGAACCGGUAGUUAAUACCGCAUACCAUCAGAUGUGCCCAGAUGGGAUUCGGUAGUUGGUGGGGUAACGGCUCACCAAGGCGACGAUCCCUAGCUGGUCUGCGAGGUUGAACAGCCACACUGUAACUGAGACACGGUCCAGACUCCUACGGGAGGCAGCAGUGGGGAAUAUUUCACAAGGGGCGCAAGCCUGAGGCAGCCAUGCCGCGUGAGUGAGGAAGGCCUUCGGGUUGUAAAGUACUUUCAGUGGGGAAGCGUUACCCACAGAAGAAGCACCGGCUAACUCCGUGCCAGCAGCCGCGGUAAUUC